GAUGAACGCUGGCGGCGUGCCUAAUACAUGCAAGUCGAGCGAAUUGACAGAGGUGCUUGCACCUCUCGAUUUUAGCGGCGGACGGGUGAGUAACACGUGGGUAACCUACCUAUAAGACUGGGAUAACUUCGGGAAACCGGAGCUAAUACCGGAUAAUAUUUAGCUUCGCAUGAAGCAAUAGUGAAAGACGGUUCUGCUGUCACUUAUAGAUGGACCUGCGGUGUAUUAGCUAGUUGGUGAGGUAACGGCUCACCAAGGCAACGAUACAUAGCCGACCUGAGAGGGUGAUCGGCCACACUGGGACUGAGACACGGCCCAGACUCCUACGGGAGGCAGCAGUAGGGAAUCUUCCGCAAUGGACGAAAGUCUGACGGAGCAACGCCGCGUGAGUGAAGAAGGUUUUCGGAUCGUAAAACUCUGUGUAAGGGAAGAACAAGUACGUUAGUAACUGAACGUACCUGACGG
This 465-nucleotide ribosomal RNA is filed under the name uncultured bacterium. RNAcentral's name for it is "bacterial SSU rRNA". It matches the Rfam family "Bacterial small subunit ribosomal RNA", at positions 28 to 485 of the family's 1533-position model. The record is from RNAcentral.